CAGGAAGGUCCACCCAGUGGACUCCCUGCCCCAGGAACGCAGCCCCUGGGGAGAGAAGCCUGACGUGGACAAGGGAGUGUGCAGCAGGGGCAGAGCUGGGGGGAUGGCCGUGUGCCUGAGAGCCAGAUGAGGCCCCGGACAGUGUCGGGCCCCGGGAGCCCAGCAGGUUCCCGCCGGACCUGGAGCAGCUGCAGGGUCUCCCGGGCAUUGGGAUUGUGGGUGAUUCCUACUGGAGC
RNAcentral lists this long non-coding RNA (236 nucleotides) under Ursus maritimus (polar bear). RNAcentral describes it as "lncRNA (ENSUMAG00000009923.1)". Lineage: Eukaryota; Metazoa; Chordata; Mammalia; Carnivora; Ursidae. The record is from RNAcentral.